GCCUCGAUAGCUCAGUGGUAGAGCGUCGCACUCGUACGAUACGGGAACUGAUCAAAUGCGAAGGUCCACGGUUCAAUCCCGUGUCGAGGCA
Molecule: non-coding RNA, 91 nt
Organism: Parathielavia hyrcaniae
Lineage: Eukaryota; Fungi; Ascomycota; Sordariomycetes; Sordariales; Chaetomiaceae
Source: the annotation of a GenBank genome assembly